Molecule: ribosomal RNA, 505 nt
Filed under: uncultured bacterium
Lineage: Bacteria
Description: partial 16S ribosomal RNA
Rfam family: Bacterial small subunit ribosomal RNA
Source: RNAcentral
ACUCAAAGGAAUAGACGGGGGCUCACACAAGCGGUGGAGCAUGUGGUUCAAUUCGAAGCAACGCGCAGAACCUUACCUGGGCUUGACAUGCUAGGAUUAUCUCUAUGAAAGUAGAGUAGGCCCUUCGGGGUACAACUAGUACAGGUGCUGCAUGGCUGUCGUCAGCUCGUGUCGUGAGAUGUCGGGUUAAGUCCCUUAACGAGCGAAACCUUUGCCCUUAGUUACCAGCGAGUAAAGUCGGGGACUCUAAGGGGACUGCCGGUGUCAAACCGGAGGAAGGUGGAGAUGACGUCAAGUCCUCAUGGCCUUUAUGCCCAGGGCCACACACGUGCUACAAUGGCGUUCACAAAGCGAACCUAAAGCGCAAGCUCAUGGAAAUCGCAGAAAUAACGCCCCAGUUCAGAUUGGAGGCUGCAACUCGCCUCCAUGAAGUUGGAAUCGCUAGUAAUCGCGGAUCAGCUACGCCGCGGUGAAUGUGUUCCUGAGCCUUGCACACACCGCCCGU